GCUUUUUUGCACGUGUGGCUCCUACGUGAGUCCUGCUAUUCAAAGAUGGAUCCUGCUGGUAUUGGCUACAGUCAGUUCUCCCAUGAUUCUUAGAGGAGUGUGAAAUAUCUAAAUGAAAUGCUUGAAAGCAGAGAAAAAGUAAGAAAAUUGUGAGUCUCCACCAACAAAACCAUCUGCCAAGAUAACUGAAUUUGCUGCCAUAGACAGGAAAUAUAAAUGUCCAAGUGACAACUUUCUUGAUUGUCUACUGGUGUCACAAAAAUAUCUUUUGACUCCCCAAGUGAAGACUGAUUUUCCUGCUUCUUGAUCGUCUGCUGUAAUACCUAGCAGAGUGCUGGGCCCCAAAUACUUCCGAAAUGAAUCACUACAUGCUGAAGACGGUGAAAAGAUUUAAAACAAAAAUCAUCCUGAAGCUCUUCUGGCAAAAGGUCAACUGGAAUUUAUGACAAAUGUCAGUAGCGGAGGACAAGAUAUGGGUGUUGUUCCCAGAUAUGAAGGGGAGAUGACACCAACACAGAGAAAUAGUUGCAACAUGGCAGAGAAGCCCUGCUCCUUGUGUUCAUUCAAGACUCAAGUUCUCUCAAAGUCCUUUUUUCUGACAAUGCCAAGGGCACUGUCAUCACCUGCAAGGUCUAUGCUGGAUUCCACUUUGCGGGGAUGGAUUUCCACCUUGCUGUUGGCAAGGGGAGUAAGCAAGCUCAAGCUCAAGACCUCACAGAUCACUUCUCUUCAAUUCCAUCAGCGAGAACUUGUGUAGGAGUGAGUAUUACAGCCACUCUUCCUCUUUAUUGACUACAUGGUACCCCCCAGCCUCCUAAGAAGUGGAAAAACAAGGAAUAAUCCUCAAGUCAGGUGGAGUGUGAAGAAACCUGAUCAUUCUAAGCAUUCACCAACAUCAUCAUACAAAUGGUAAUUGUGUAGCUACUGCGUGUGAUGCAUUGCUGCAUGGUGUGUAAUUUCUAGGGCUCUACAGUUGUUCAACCACAUCCCCAGAGACUGACAUGAAGAGUAUACACCCUACAGUAUAAGAACACAGACAGACAGACAGACAGACAGAAAGAAAG
Molecule: long non-coding RNA, 1064 nt
Filed under: Sus scrofa (pig)
Lineage: Eukaryota; Metazoa; Chordata; Mammalia; Artiodactyla; Suidae
Description: lncRNA (ENSSSCG00015078118.1)
Source: RNAcentral